GGAAGCGAAUAAGAGCGUGCGGGGGAUGCCUUGGCUCCCGGGGGCGACGAAGGACGCGGUAAGCUGCGAAAAUUUACGGGGAGUUGCAAACUAGCGUUGAUCCGUAAGUGUCCGAAUGGGGCAACCCAUGCCGAUGAAGUCGGCAAGACAAUAGUCGCUAACCCUCUGAACUGAAACAUCUAAGUAGGAGGAGGAAAAGAAAACAAAAGUGAUUCCGUAAGUAGUGGCGAGCGAACGCGGAGAAGGCCAAACCAGUGAGCGUGCUCACUGGGGUUGUAGGGUCGCGAUGUGGGAUUGAUUAAUUUUUAGCGGAAGCAUUUGGAAAGAUGCGCCAUAGCGGGUGAUAGCCCCGUACGCGAAAGAGAUUGUCACCUUAGCGAUACCCUGAGUAGGGCGGGGCUGGAGAAACCCUGUCUGAAUCUGGCGGCACCAUCCGCCAAGCCUAAAUACCACCGGGAGACCGAUAGUGAACCAGUACCGUGAGGGAAAGGUGAAAAGAACCCUGAGCAAGGGAGUGAAAAGACCCUGAAACCGCACGCUUACAAGCGGUAGGAGCUAUAGUAAUAUAGUGACUGCGUGCCUUUUGCAUAAUGAGCCUACGAGUUACUCCUGUCUGGCAGCCUAAGUACUUCAGGUACGGAAGCAUAGCGAAAGCGAGUCUUAACAGGGCGUUAGUCAGGCGGGGUAGACGCGAAACCGAGUGAUCUAUCCAUGGGCAGGUUGAAGGUGCGAUAGUCUCGCACUGGAGGACCGAACCGGUAAGUGUUGAAAAACUUUCGGAUGACCUGUGGAUAGGGGUGAAAGGCCAAUCAAACUCGGAGAUAGCUCGUACUCCCCGAAAUGCAUUUAGGUGCAGCGUCGUGCAAUAUGUGCUGGAGGUAAAGCUACUGAGAAGGCUAGGGGGCUUCACCGCCUACCAACCCUUAACAAACUCUGAAUGCCAUCACAUAGUAACGGCAGUGAGCCCCGGGGUGCGAAGGUCACGGGGCGAGAGGGGAACAACCCAGACCAACAGUUAAGGUCCCUAAGUCUAGCUAAGUUGCGAGAACGAGGUGGGAAUGCAGUGACAGCCAGGAUGUUUGCUUGGAAGCAGCAAUUCAUUCAAAGAGUGCGUAACAGCUCACUGGUCGAGCGUUCCUGCGCGGAAAAUAAGCGGGCAUCAAGCUAGGCACCGAAACUUUGGAUUCGAAAGAGUGGUAGGGGAGCAUUCUGCGGGGCUGAAGCAGUGGCGUGAGCCAAUGUGGACUUAGCAGAAAAGCAAAUGUAGGCAUAAGUAACGAUAAAUGAUGUGGAAAACAUCAUCGCCGUAAGACCAAGGGUUCCUGAUCUACGUUAAUCGGAUCAGGGUGAGCCGGGUCCUAAGGAUAAGCCGAAAGGCGAAGCCGAUGGAAAAUGGGUUAAGAUUCCCAUGCCAGCGUGAAUUGUGAAACAGGGACGGAGAGCAGGAGGUACCGCGUACUGACGGAAUAGUACGUUAAAGCGUAAGCGAUAGUACACCAAUCUCUUUGGAGAGCGGUGAUAGUGUACUGAAUAAUCUUCCAGGAAAAGCUGUUGAAACAUCAGGUUCAUGCUGCCCGUACCGUAAACCGACACAGGUGGUCGAGGAGAGCAUCCUCAGGCGCUCGAGUGAUUCGUGGCUAAGGAACUAGGCAAAAUAGUCUCGUAACUUCGGAAGAAGAGACGCCAGCAGUAAUGCUGGCCGCAGUGAAGAGGCCCAGGCGACUGUUUAUCAAAAACACAGGACUCUGCUAAAUCGAAAGAUGCUGUAUAGGGUCUGACACCUGCCCGGUGCUGGAAGGUUAAGGAAGGUGCUUAGAGGUAACUCGAAGGCAUUAACUGAAGCCCCAGUAAACGGCGGCCGUAACUAUAACGGUCCUAAGGUAGCGAAAUUCCUUGUCGGGUAAGUUCCGA
RNAcentral lists this ribosomal RNA (1911 nucleotides) under activated sludge metagenome. RNAcentral describes it as "bacterial LSU rRNA". It matches the Rfam family "Bacterial large subunit ribosomal RNA", at positions 1 to 1986 of the family's 2925-position model. The record is from RNAcentral.